RNAcentral lists this ribosomal RNA (253 nucleotides) under uncultured Gemmatimonas sp. RNAcentral describes it as "partial 16S ribosomal RNA". It matches the Rfam family "Bacterial small subunit ribosomal RNA", at positions 524 to 776 of the family's 1533-position model. The record is from RNAcentral. Lineage: Bacteria; Pseudomonadati; Gemmatimonadota; Gemmatimonadia; Gemmatimonadales; Gemmatimonadaceae.
UACGGAGGGUGCGAGCGUUGUCCGGAAUCACUGGGCGUAAAGGGCGCGUAGGUGGUCUGCUAAGCGUGUGGUGAAAGCUCGGGGCUCAACCCCGAGUCUGCCAUGCGAACUGGUGGACUAGAGCACUGUAGAGGCAGGUGGAAUUCCGGGUGUAGCGGUGGAAUGCGUAGAGAUCCGGAAGAACACCGGUGGCGAAGGCGGCCUGCUGGGCAGUAGCUGACACUGAGGCGCGACAGCGUGGGGAGCAAACAGG